Molecule: ribosomal RNA, 890 nt
Filed under: uncultured marine archaeon
Lineage: Archaea
Description: SSU rRNA
Rfam family: Archaeal small subunit ribosomal RNA
Source: RNAcentral
GCCAGCAGCCGCGGUAAUACCGGCAGCUCGAGUGGUCGUCGCUUUUAUUGGGCCUAAACGUCCGUAGCCUGUUUGGUAAAUCUGUGGGUAAAUCAACGAGCUUAACACGUUGAAUUCUGCAGAGACUGCCAGACUAGGGACCGGGAGAGGUAUGAGGUACUCUGGGGGUAGGGGUAAAAUCCUGUCAUCCUCAGAGGACCACCUGUUGCGAAGGCGUCAUACUGGAACGGAUCCGACGGUCAGGGACGAAGCCUAGGGGCACGAACCGGAUUAGAUACCCGGGUAGUCCUAGGUGUAAACGCUGUGGAUUUGGUGUGUGGGGUCCGCAAUGGGCCCCAUGUGCCGGAGUGAAGAUGUUAAAUCCACUGCCUGGGGAGUACGGUCGCAAGGCUGAAACUUAAAGGAAUUGGCGGGGGAGCACUGCAACGGGAGGAGCGUGCGGUUUAAUUGGAUUCAACGCCGGAAAACUCACCAUGGCCGACGGACAAAUGAAAGCCAGUGUAACGAGCUUGCUGGAUUGUUCGAGAGGUAUUGCAUGGCCGCCGUCAGUUCGUACCGCAAGGCGUUCUGUUAAGUCAGAUAACGAACGAGACCCUCAUCCCUAUUUGCCAACUGCGUCUCCGGACGCAGCGCACUAUAGGGAGACCGCUGUCGAUAAGGCAGAUGAAGGCGAGGGCAACGGUAGGUCAGUAUGAUCCGAAUGCCAUGGGCUACACGCGCAAUACAAAGGACGGGACAAUGGGCUGCAACUCCGAGAGGAACGACGCUAUCCCGAAACCCGUUCGUAGUUCGGAUUGAGGGCUGUAAUUCGCCCUCAUGAAGCUGGAUUAGGUAGUCAUCGCGUCUCAUCAAGGCGCGGUGAAUAUGCCCCUGCUCCUUGCACUCACCGC